RNAcentral lists this non-coding RNA (21 nucleotides) under Caenorhabditis elegans. Lineage: Eukaryota; Metazoa; Nematoda; Chromadorea; Rhabditida; Rhabditidae. The record is from RNAcentral.
UCUCAGUUGUUGUGAAUCGAC